UACGUAGGGGCAAGCGUUAUCCGGAAUUAUUGGGCGUAAAGAGUGCGUAGGUGGUUACCUAAGCGCAAGGUUUAAUCUUGAGGCUCAACCUCAUUCUGCCUUGCGAACUGGGCUACUUGAGUGCAGGAGGGGAAAGCGGAAUUCCUAGUGUAGCGGUGAAAUGCGUAGAUAUUAGGAAGAACACCGGUGGCGAAGGCGGCUUUCUGGACUGUAACUGACACUGAGGCACGAAAGCGUGGGGAGCAAACAGGAUUAGAUACCCGGGUAGUCCCUGAGCGGG
Molecule: ribosomal RNA, 280 nt
Filed under: uncultured prokaryote
Description: partial 16S ribosomal RNA
Rfam family: Bacterial small subunit ribosomal RNA
Source: RNAcentral